AGAUUGAACGCUGGCGGCAUGCCUUACACAUGCAAGUCGAACGGCAGCACAGGGGCAACCUUGGUGGCGAGUGGCGAACGGGUGAGUAAUAUAUCGGAACGUGCCCUAGAGUGGGGGAUAACGUAGCGAAGGUUACGCUAAUACCGCAUACGAUCUACGGAGGAAAGUGGGGGAUUCGCAAGAACCUCAUGCUCGUGGAGCGGCCGAUAUCUGAUUAGCUAGUUGGUAGGGUAAAAGCCUACCAAGGCAUCGAUCAGUAGCUGGUCUGAGAGGACGACCAGCCACACUGGGACUGAGACACGGCCCAGACUCCUACGGGAGCAGCAGUGGGGAAUUUGGACAAUGGGCG
This 349-nucleotide ribosomal RNA is filed under the name uncultured soil bacterium. Its description in RNAcentral is "bacterial SSU rRNA". It matches the Rfam family "Bacterial small subunit ribosomal RNA", at positions 26 to 377 of the family's 1533-position model. The record is from RNAcentral.